CUGGAGGUAUCAGAAGUGCGAAUGCUGACAUAAGUAACGAUAAAGCGGGUGAAAAGCCCGCUCGCCGGAAGACCAAGGGUUCCUGUCCAACGUUAAUCGGGGCAGGGUGAGUCGACCCCUAAGGCGAGGCCGAAAGGCGUAGUCGAUGGGAAACGGGUUAAUAUUCCCGUACUUGGUGUUACUGCGAAGGGGGGACGGAGAAGGCUAUGUUGGCCGGGCGACGGUUGUCCCGGUUUAAGCGUGUAGGUGUGUGUUCCAGGUAAAUCCGGUUCACUUUAACACUGAGGCGUGACGACGAGGCACUACGGUG
RNAcentral lists this ribosomal RNA (310 nucleotides) under Salmonella enterica. RNAcentral describes it as "partial 23S ribosomal RNA". It matches the Rfam family "Bacterial large subunit ribosomal RNA", at positions 1273 to 1584 of the family's 2925-position model. RNAcentral also lists the same sequence under 1 other name. Lineage: Bacteria; Pseudomonadati; Pseudomonadota; Gammaproteobacteria; Enterobacterales; Enterobacteriaceae. The record is from RNAcentral.